CUACGGGAGGCAGCAGUGAGGAAUAUUGGACAAUGGAGGCAACUCUGAUCCAGCCAUGCCGCGUGCAGGAAGACGGCCCUACGGGUUGUAAACUGCUUUUAUACAGGAAGAAACGCCGCUACGUGUAGCGGUUUGACGGUACUGUACGAAUAAGGAUCGGCUAACUCCGUGCCAGCAGCCGCGGUAAUACGGAGGAUCCAAGCGUUAUCCGGAAUCAUUGGGUUUAAAGGGUCCGUAGGCGGUUUUUUAAGUCAGAGGUGAAACCCUGCAGCUCAACUGUAGCAUUGCCUUUGAUACUGAAAGACUUGAGUUAUUGUGAAGUAGUUAGAAUGUGUAGUGUAGCGGUGAAAUGCAUAGAUAUUACACAGAAUACCGAUUGCGAAGGCAGAUUACUAACAAUAUACUGACGCUGAGGGACGAAAGCGUGGGUAGCGAACAGGAUUAGAUACCCCCGUAGUC
RNAcentral lists this ribosomal RNA (459 nucleotides) under uncultured bacterium. RNAcentral's name for it is "partial 16S ribosomal RNA". It matches the Rfam family "Bacterial small subunit ribosomal RNA", at positions 339 to 795 of the family's 1533-position model. The record is from RNAcentral.